GGGGCUGAUCGGUUUCGACUUGGGACGUUAGUUCCAGGGGAAGCGGGUCGAGGAGCCAGCGUCAUCUCGUAAACGAUCGCUGGAAACCAAUAACUGCCAACGCUAAGCGCAGUUCCUUCGCUCUCGCCGCCUGAGCGGUGAUCGAAGCGUCCACCCGGGUAUCCGUCUCCGGCCCGGACGUGGGCGUCAUCUAGGAGACUUGCCGGUUAACUGCUGUCGGGGUGGUUGAUCGGGACUCAAUCCCGACUGAGCCUGUCGGGGACGUGUCCGUGCGAGCCCCGGGGCUGAGAAAUGCGAUAGCACGGACUGCACCCGGAGAAGACCUGGUUCGACGCUCGAGGACCGGGGUUCGAUUCCCCGCAGCUCCACCG
RNAcentral lists this transfer-messenger RNA (371 nucleotides) under Nocardioides soli. RNAcentral's name for it is "Standard tmRNA". It matches the Rfam family "transfer-messenger RNA". Rfam says of the family: Bacterial tmRNA, also known as 10Sa RNA or SsrA, is named for its dual tRNA and mRNA-like properties. Its role is to liberate the mRNA from a stalled ribosome. The record is from Rfam by way of RNAcentral. Lineage: Bacteria; Bacillati; Actinomycetota; Actinomycetes; Propionibacteriales; Nocardioidaceae.